AAAGGACAAAUAACCUCGAUUCUAAGUUGGACCGAGCGCUGCACUUCAGUAGCAGGACCCAGGAGUCUAAUUUCUCUUUCCAGAUGGGCGAAGGCCAGGCAAGUUCCUGUUCAUACUGGGGGAGAGGAUCACAAUUCUCCCACAUACAGCAGUGAAUAGAAUUGAAGCCAGAAAUAAAGAUCUGCAGCAUCCUGGGAGACAGCAAAAUAAAAAUCAGGCAGUCUUUCCAAGUGUGUGCCCUGUCAAAAUAUGCCAGGCAUUGAAGAAAUCCAAGAAUAAGACUUUAGGACAGAAAUUGAAGAAACCAAAUGACAGCGGCCAAGUUCAAAGCAGAGGUUGAAGACAAAGUCUGGUGGUACUUUGCGAGUUUUUAGGACGCAUUUGGCUUCAGGGCAAAGUAGGGAGGAAAGUAGGUACAAUCUAACAUGGGCAUAAUUAUUUUUCCACAUUCCAGUACAUCCUGCCACUUGCCAGAGAGAUUGGUUCCUUC
This 490-nucleotide long non-coding RNA is filed under the name Ictidomys tridecemlineatus (thirteen-lined ground squirrel). RNAcentral describes it as "lncRNA (ENSSTOG00000033421.1)". Lineage: Eukaryota; Metazoa; Chordata; Mammalia; Rodentia; Sciuridae. The record is from RNAcentral.